Molecule: long non-coding RNA, 669 nt
Organism: Cervus elaphus (red deer)
Lineage: Eukaryota; Metazoa; Chordata; Mammalia; Artiodactyla; Cervidae
Exons: 5
Source: RefSeq, a predicted model, not a curated record
AGAUUCUAGCCAGCAACUUCGGACAUUGUUUGGGUUUUGCUGUCCCUUCAGCCAAUGUGGCUUCUACAGAGAAGUGGAACCAUUAUGAAAUGUAGGAUAUUUUUGCACGUGACCGUCCCAAACUGAAGUCAUCUUAAGACAAAGGAGGCAUCUGAAGCAGUACGUGAGCGUUGACCAAAGAUGUGAGGUACCCAUUCAUCACGGAAAAACAAGAUACAGUAAUUCCCUAUCAAACACCAAGUGAGAGACUGUAUUUUCAGGAGAGUUGAAAGCAACACACAUAUGGCAGAAAGUCCUACUUCCAUGAGCUUAUUUCUCAACUGUUGCACCGAAACCAGAGGCGGUUUUGAGAUUAAGAUCCAAUGCUCUCCAGCUAACCUUAAUCUGCCCAUCACUCAAUUCUGGGUCAAAGCGCCAUGGUGACACAGGCAGCGUGCCUUUGAACGUGCGGCGAGCCAGAUGCACCAUGAAUUUAAAACGAGCAACAAAUAUCCUCAUGCAGACACAAAUAAUAUGAUGUGGAUACAAGAGGUCAAAAAGGGAACUGGGUCAUUUUCCGUGUUCUUUGGGGAAUGUCGCUUUCUAUACAGAAGGAAAUCACAACGUACUCUUGCCUGGAGGAAAUCGCAACCCAUUCUUGCCUGGAGAAUCCCAGGGACGGAGGAGCCU